AACGAACGCUGGCGGCAGGCUUAACACAUGCAAGUCGAACGGGUGCAGCAAUGCAUCAGUGGCAGACGGGUGAGUAACACGUGGGAACCUUCCUAGGGGUACGGAACAACUCAGGGAAACUUGAGCUAAUACCGUAUACGUCCGUGAGGAGAAAGAUUUAUCGCCCUUAGACGGGCCCGCGUCGGAUUAGCUAGUUGGUGGGGUAACGGCCUACCAAGGCGACGAUCCGUAGCUGAUCUUAGAGGAUGAUCAGCCACACUGGGACUGAGACACGGCCCAGACUCCUACGGGAGGCAGCAGUGGGGAAUCUUGGACAAUGGGCGCAAGCCUGAUCCAGCCAUGCCGCGUGAGUGAAGAAGGUCUUCGGAUUGUAAAGCUCUUUUGCCAGGGACGAUAAUGACGGUACCUGGAGAAUAAGCCCCGGCAAACUUCGUGCCAGCCGCCGCCGCGG
RNAcentral lists this ribosomal RNA (451 nucleotides) under uncultured bacterium. RNAcentral describes it as "partial 16S ribosomal RNA". It matches the Rfam family "Bacterial small subunit ribosomal RNA", at positions 29 to 523 of the family's 1533-position model. The record is from RNAcentral.